Molecule: ribosomal RNA, 468 nt
Filed under: uncultured bacterium
Lineage: Bacteria
Description: partial 16S ribosomal RNA
Rfam family: Bacterial small subunit ribosomal RNA
Source: RNAcentral
GACGAACGCUGGCGGCGUGCUUAACACAUGCAAGUCGAACGGAAAGGCCCUGCUUUUGUGGGGUGCUCGAGUGGCGAACGGGUGAGUAACACGUGAGUAACCUGCCCUUGACUUUGGGAUAACUUCAGGAAACUGGGGCUAAUACCGGAUAGCAUCUCCUGCUGCAUGGUGGGGGUUGGAACGUUUCGGCGGGUGCGGAUGGACUCGCGGCUGAUCAGCUUGUUGGUGGGGUAGUGGCUUACCAAGGCUUUGACGGGUAGCCGGCCUGAGAGGGUGCCCGGCGCCAUUGGGACUGAGGUACGGCCCAGACGCCUACGGGAGGCAGCAGUGGGGAAUAUUGCACAAUGGGCGGAAGUCUGAUGCAGAGGCGCCGCGUGCGGGAAGACGGCCUUCGGGUUGUAAACCGCUUUCGCCUGUGACGAAGCGUGUGUGACGGUACUGGGUAAAGAAGCACCGGCUAACUACGUG